RNAcentral lists this unclassified non-coding RNA (206 nucleotides) under Hevea brasiliensis (rubber tree). The record is from RNAcentral. Lineage: Eukaryota; Viridiplantae; Streptophyta; Magnoliopsida; Malpighiales; Euphorbiaceae.
GGUUCAAGUAGCUUGUUGCACAUGCAAUAUUAUUGCCUUUAGGUGUUGGUAAUGAUGAGUUACCACUAGCCACAGGAAAGUGUUCACCCCACUUCAACUUCUGGGCAAAGUUAUCCCCUCCGCCCAGAUUUUCACCACCACUGCCAAUGAUAGACAUGAAAGCUGCUGCUAGAGCUGAUUGGAAAUUAGGGUCUGCUGUGAUCGCC